AUGUGAAGCAUCCUGGAUCUUCUAGCUUCUUUGGAACAACAAGCCUGGAUGAUGGCACUGCACUCAUGAGUGAGAAUCAUCAUGCCCUUCAUCUCUUUCUUGUUUGCAGCUACAACAUCUUUCAGGAACUUACUAUAUUGAGGAAUUAGCAUGAAAGCAUCAAUAAUGGACAUUGUGACUUGAACUUCACUCAUUUGCUUCUCAAAUAGAGCUUUGUAC
Molecule: long non-coding RNA, 219 nt
Filed under: Brassica napus (rape)
Lineage: Eukaryota; Viridiplantae; Streptophyta; Magnoliopsida; Brassicales; Brassicaceae
Description: long non-coding RNA (BNAP_LNC010798)
Source: RNAcentral